ACGGUGAAGCAGGAGCUUGCUCUUGUGGAUCAGUGGCGAACGGGUGAGUAACACGUGAGCAACCUGCCCCUGACUCUGGGAUAAGCGCUGGAAACGGCGUCUAAUACUGGAUAUGUGACGUGACCGCAUGGUCUGCGUCUGGAAAGAAUUUCGGUUGGGGAUGGGCUCGCGGCCUAUCAGCUUGUUGGUGAGGUAAUGGCUCACCAAGGCGUCGACGGGUAGCCGGCCUGAGAGGGUGACCGGCCACACUGGGACUGAGACACGGCCCAGACUCCUACGGGAGGCAGCAGUGGGGAAUAUUGCACAAUGGGCGAAAGCCUGAUGCAGCAACGCCGCGUGAGGGAUGACGGCCUUCGGGUUGUAAACCUCUUUUAGCAGGGAAGAAGCGAAAGUGACGGUACCUGCAGAAAAAGCGCCGGCUAACUACGUGCCAGCAGCCGCGGUAAUACGUAGGGCGCAAGCGUUAUCCGGAAUUAUUGGGCGUAAAGAGCUCGUAGGCGGUUUGUCGCGUCUGCUGUGAAAUCCCGAGGCUCAACCUCGGGCCUGCAGUGGGUACGGGCAGACUAGAGUGCGGUAGGGGAGAUUGGAAUUCCUGGUGUAGCGGUGGAAUGCGCAGAUAUCAGGAGGAACACCGAUGGCGAAGGCAGAUCUCUGGGCCGUAACUGACGCUGAGGAGCGAAAGGGUGGGGAGCAAACAGGCUUAGAUACCCUGGUAGUCCACCCCGUAAACGUUGGGAACUAGUUGUGGGGUCCAUUCCACGGAUUCCGUGACGCAGCUAACGCAUUAAGUUCCCC
Molecule: ribosomal RNA, 795 nt
Filed under: Microbacterium sp.
Lineage: Bacteria; Bacillati; Actinomycetota; Actinomycetes; Micrococcales; Microbacteriaceae
Description: bacterial SSU rRNA
Rfam family: Bacterial small subunit ribosomal RNA
Source: RNAcentral